GAUGAACGCUAGCGGGAUGCUAAUACAUGCAAGUCGAGGGGCAGCAUGGGGCUUCGGCCCUGAUGGCGACUGGCGCACGGGUGAGUAACGCGUACGAAACCUGCCUCCAAGCGGGGAAUAGCCCCCGGAAACUGGGAUUAAUGCCCCAUAGCUCUGCACUGCCGGCUGGCAGAGCAGUUAAAGCUGCGGCGCUUGGAGAUCGUCGUGCGUCCCAUUAGCUAGGUUAGCGUGGUAACGGCCCACCAAGGCGACGAUUGGUAGGGGGCGUGAGAUCGUGCCCCCCAUACGGGUACUGAGACACGGACACUACUCCUACAGGAAGCAGUAGUAAAGAAUAUUGGACAAUGGGGGCCACCCUGAUCCAACCAUCCCUCGUGCAUGAUGACGGUCCUACGGGUUGUAAACUGCUUUUGCGAGGGAAGAAACGACGCUAUUCGUAGUGUUUUGACGGUUCCUCGAGAAUCAGCACCGGCUAACUCCGUGCCAGGCACCCGCGGUAUUCCGGAGGGUGCGAGCGUUAUCCGGAAUCACUGGGUCUAAAGGGUGCGUAUGCGGCAUGGUAAGUCAGAUGUGAGAGGCCGUCGCUCACUGAUGGACUUGCCUUUGAUACUGUCAUGCUUGAUUCCCGUUGUGGCCGGCGGAUUGUGGCAUGUCGCGGUGAACUGCAUAGAUGUGCCAUAGAUCACCGAUUGCGACUGCCGCUGGCUGGGCUUAGAUUGACGCUGAGGCACGAAAGCGUGAGGAGCGAACAGGAUUAGAUACCCUGGUAGUCCACGCCAUCAACGAUGUUUACUCGGCCUUGGCACAUAGGGGCCAGGACCCAAGCGUAAGCGUUAAGGCAACCACCUGGGGAAUACCUCGGCAACGAUGAAAAUCCAAGGAAUUGACGGGGGUCCGCACAAACGAUGGAGACAUGUGGGUUAAAUCGAUGAUACGCGAGGAACCUUACCUAGGCUAGAACACGAGCGCCACCCCGGGAAACCGGGGGUUCGUUCGGUACGCGAAGCAAGAUACUGCAUGGAUGUCGUCAGCUCGGGCCCGUGAGGUAUUGGGUUAAGUCACGCAACGAUGGGCAACCCAUGUUUCCAGUUGCCAGCGCUUGAACAUGAGGACUCUGGAAAGACUGCCGGCGCAAACCGCGAGGAAGAUGGGGAUGACGUCAAGUCAUCAUGGCC
RNAcentral lists this ribosomal RNA (1175 nucleotides) under uncultured organism. RNAcentral describes it as "bacterial SSU rRNA". It matches the Rfam family "Bacterial small subunit ribosomal RNA", at positions 28 to 1200 of the family's 1533-position model. The record is from RNAcentral.